RNAcentral lists this non-coding RNA (24 nucleotides) under Mus musculus (house mouse). The record is from RNAcentral. Lineage: Eukaryota; Metazoa; Chordata; Mammalia; Rodentia; Muridae.
UAGCUUGUCUGUUAAUAAGUGGCC